GAUGAACGCUGGCGGCGUGCCUAAUACAUGCAAGUCGAGCGAACAGACGAGGAGCUUGCUCCUCUGACGUUAGCGGCGGACGGGUGAGUAACACGUGGAUAACCUACCUAUAAGAAUGGGAUAACUUCGGGAAACCGGAGCUAAUACCGGAUAAUAUAUUGAACCGUAUGGAUCAAUAGUGAAAGACGGUUUUGCUGACACUUAUAGAUGGAUCCGCGCCGCAUUAGCUAGUUGGUAAGGUAACGGCUUACCAAGGCAACGAUGCGUAGCCGACCUGAGAGGGUGAUCGGCCACACUGGAACUGAGACACGGUCCAGACUCCUACGGGAGGCAGCAGUAGGGAAUCUUCCGCAAUGGGCGAAAGCCUGACGGAGCAACGCCGCGUGAGUGAUGAAGGUCUUCGGAUCGUAAAACUCUGUUAUUAGGGAAGAACAAAUGUGUAAGUAACUAUGCACGUCUUGACGGUACCUAAUCAGAAAGCCACGGCUAACUACGUG
This 497-nucleotide ribosomal RNA is filed under the name uncultured bacterium. Its description in RNAcentral is "partial 16S ribosomal RNA". It matches the Rfam family "Bacterial small subunit ribosomal RNA", at positions 28 to 507 of the family's 1533-position model. The record is from RNAcentral.